UCUUUUUCUCUCUUUAUCUUGAUCCUUUAUUUCAAGUUUUUAGAAAUUUGCUUUUGGAUUUAUCAUUAUUCCCAUGGGUAUCCCAGUAAAUAGAAUUUAAUCUUCCGAAUCAAAAGGCUUGGUGUUUGUUUUGGUGAAAUUUGCAAACAUGUUAAUUAUUCAAACACCUUGCCUGAAAAUCCUUGGAGAAAUCCCAUGUAAUAUGUGAUAUUUGGGUCAAAAUAUGUUCAUAUAUGUAUUCCUUUUUUGUAGGACCUUGUGACCCCUCAUUAAAAUGAAUCAGAUGACACUUUGUCUAUGAUGAUACAAUAAAUCCCCAUCCACAGGUUGCAUAAGUUUUGCUCACAUGCUGCUUCUAAUGCAGUGAUGCUCUUAUCAUUCAAUGCCAUAGGAUGGAUCUUGUCUAUGUGUGUCCCAAGUACUAGGGUUUGGCACUGAUCGUAGCCGGACUUUAUUUAUAUGUUAGAUCCAUCUGCAGUGAGUGAUUUAGUGCGGUGGAGAAGUGUUCUACAUGUGUUACUGCUUUGUUUAUCAAUUUUCACGGUUAAAGCUCUUGUUGUACAGGAUCCCUUUACCUAACUGGGUUGUGGAAGAGAUCAACAAAGAUCCGGACCUUGCAUACACUGAUCAAUGGGGGAGGAGAAAUUAUGAAUAUGUGUCCCUUGGGUCUGAUACUCUUCCAGUCCUCAAGGGGCGAACACCCGUCCAGUGUUAUGCUGACUUCAUGCGUGCAUUCAAGGACAACUUCAAGCAUCUUCUUGGUGACACCAUUGUGGUAAUUACCUAUCCCUAUCCCUAUGAUUCUCAUAAGUUUAAUGCAAUUAGUACAAGCACAAAGGCUUGUACAAAUUGUGUGCAAGCCCUGCCUAGGUGGUCAAGAGUUUGGCAGUCAGGGCCCAAUUGUUUAGUUUGAAUACAAAAAUUACAGCAGGUUUCAGUGGCUGGUUCAAACUCCUUUAAACUCUAUAGUAUGUGAUGGAAGUGAUCACUAAUCAUCUUAAGAAUUUGUCUCAUUCAGGAAAUCCAGGUGGGGAUGGGACCAGCAGGUGAGUUCCGCUACCCUUCAUAUCCAGAGCAAGAUGGGACAUGGAAAUUCCCAGGCAUUGGAGCCUUCCAGUGUUAUGACAAGGUAUUUCUCUUGUUCUUUUUUCCUUUUUUUUUUCUUCUGAU
This 1170-nucleotide long non-coding RNA is filed under the name Vitis vinifera (wine grape). RNAcentral's name for it is "long non-coding RNA (VVIN_LNC006827)". Lineage: Eukaryota; Viridiplantae; Streptophyta; Magnoliopsida; Vitales; Vitaceae. The record is from RNAcentral.